UACGGAGGGGGCAAGCGUUGUUCGGAAUCAUUGGGCGUAAAGAGUAUGUAGGCGGCUAUUUAAGUCAGGCGUGCAAGCCCACGGCUCAACCGUGGAAUUGCGUUUGAAACUAUUUAGCUUGAGUACAGGAGAGGAAGGCGGAAUUCCCAGUGUAGCGGUGAAAUGCAUUGAUAUUGGGAAGAACACCGGUGGCGAAGGCGGCCUUCUGGUCUGAUACUGACGCUGAGAUACGAAAGCCAGGGGAGCGAACGGG
This 253-nucleotide ribosomal RNA is filed under the name uncultured bacterium. RNAcentral's name for it is "partial 16S ribosomal RNA". It matches the Rfam family "Bacterial small subunit ribosomal RNA", at positions 524 to 776 of the family's 1533-position model. The record is from RNAcentral.